Molecule: ribosomal RNA, 460 nt
Filed under: uncultured bacterium
Lineage: Bacteria
Description: partial 16S ribosomal RNA
Rfam family: Bacterial small subunit ribosomal RNA
Source: RNAcentral
CCUACGGGAGGCAGCAGUGAGGAAUAUUGGUCAAUGGACGGAAGUCUGAACCAGCCAUGCCGCGUGCAGGAAGACGGCUCUAUGAGUUGUAAACUGCUUUUGUACAAGGGUAAACCUGAAUACGUGUAUUCAGCUGAAAGUACUCUACGAAUAAGGAUCGGCUAACUCCGUGCCAGCAGCCGCGGUAAUACGGAGGAUCCAAGCGUUAUCCGGAUUUAUUGGGUUUAAAGGGUGCGUAGGCGGAUUGAUAAGUUAGAGGUGAAAUGUGCGAGCUUAACUCGGGAACUGCCUAUAAUACUGUUGAUCUAGAGAGUAAAUGCGGUAGGCGGAAUGUAUGGUGUAGCGGUGAAAUGCUUAGAGAUCAUACAGAACACCGAUUGCGAAGGCAGCUUUACAGGCUAUUACUGACGCUGAGGCACGAAAGCGUGGGGAGCGAACAGGAUUAGAUACCCCUGUAGUC